GAUUAAGCUACUAAGGGUAUAUGGUGGAUGUCUUGGUACUAAAAGCUGAUGAAGGACGUGGAAGGCUGCGAUAAGCUUCGGAGAGCUGUCAAACAAGCUUUGAUCCGGAGAUUUCCGAAUUGGGAAACCUGUCGUAAAGAAUGAAAUACUUCUUUUUGGUUCAUACCGCGACAUUAUUAUCUGAAUAAAUAGGAUAAUAAAAGGAACGAAGGGAACUGAAACAUCUAAGUACCUUCAGGAAAAGAAAGAAAAAUCGAUUUCCUUAGUAGCGGCGAGCGAAACGGAAAUAGCCUAAACUGGUUGUAUGUGAUAGCCCUUGUGCGUUGUAUAACCAGGGUCGUGGGGUUUACAGUAAGUGAGAUAAGGCUCCUUGGAAAAGGUAUUAUUUUUAGCCGAACAGGCAGGAAAGCCUGGCUUUAAAGGGUGAGAGUCCCGUAGGCGAAAAAAGUAAUAAAUUUUCUUGUAACACCCCAAGUAAUGUCGGUCACGUGGAAGCUGGCAUGAAUUCAGGAGGCCCACCUCCUAAGGCUAAAUACUUUUAGUAACCGAUAGUGGACAAGUAGCGUGAGUGAAAGAUGAAAAGAACCCCUGUUAGGGGAGUGAAAUAGAACCUGAAACCAUAUACUUACAAGCUGUAGGAGCACAAUGAGUAUGUAAUUUAUUAUAUACUACAGGUGUAACUGCGUACCUUUUGCAUAAUGAACCGGCGAGUUGCUAGUUGCAGCAGGUUAAACUUAAAAAAAGUGGAGCCAAAGCGAAAGCGAGUACUAACUGUGCGAUGGUUGCAAAUAGCAGACCCGAAACCGAGUGAUCUACCCUUGGUCAGGAUGAAGUUCCGGUAAGACGGAAUGGAGGUCCGAACGCGUUUACGUUGAAAAGUGAUGCGAUGAACUGAGGGGAGGAGUAAAAGUCUAAUCAAACUCGGAGAUAGCUGGUUCUCCCCGAAAUAGCUUUAGGGCUAGCCUUACGUGAAUUGAUAAUAGGGGUAGAGAUACUGAUUGAGUAUUGGGGCCCACCAGGCUACCAAACACAACCAAACUCCGAAUACUAUUAUUUUCUGCGUAGGAGUCAGACUAUGGGGGAUAAGCUCCGUAGUCAAGAGGGAAACAGCCCAGAUCAUUAGUUAAGGUCCUUAAAAUGAGCUAAGUGAAAAAGGAAGUGGAAGUGCAAAGACAGCUAGGAUGUUGGCUUAGAAGCAGCAACCAUUUAAAAAGUGCGUAAUAGCUUACUAGCCGAGUACUUUUGCGCCGAAAAUCAGCGGGACUAAGCUCAUUACCGAAACUGUGAAUCCUAAUUUAUUAGGGUGGUAGGGGAGCGUUCUAUUAUAGGUUGAAGCCUUACUGUAAAGAGAGGUGGACGAAAUAGAAGUGAGAAUGCCGGUAUAAGUAGCGAUAAUAUAAGUGAGAAUCUUAUUCGCCGAAAGCCUAAGGUUUCCUGGGGAAGGCAAAUCCGCCCAGGGUUAGCCGGUGCCUAAGUUGAGGUCGAAAGGCGUAAACGAUGGACAACAGGUUAAUAUUCCUGUGCCACCAUUAUAGCGUUUGAGCAUGGGAGGACGGGAACGUGAAGAUUAGCAAGCCCACUAGACAUGGUUUGUUUAAACCGGAGGUACUGCUUCAGGCAAAUCCGAAGCAAUAAAGUGCCGAAGGUGAUGACGUUGGCUUUAAGCCUAGAAGUAAUCCGAUCGUUCUCCAAGAAAAAUCUCGUUAGCGAGCUAUUUUGGUGACCGUACUAAAACUGACACAGGUAGGCUGGGAGAGAAUCCUAAGGCGCUCGAGAGAACCCUCGUUAAGGAACUCGGCAAAAUUGCUCCGUAACUUCGGGAUAAGGAGUGCCUUUUUGAUAGAGGUAUUUAUAUCGAUAUUAAAAAGGCCGCAGUGAAAAUGUCCGGGCGACUGUUUACUAAAAACACAGGUCUCUGCUAAGAUGUAUAAUUGACGUAUAGAGACUGACGCGUGCUCGAUGCCAGAAAGUUAAGGGGAUAGGUUAUUUGUCGAGUAAUCGAUAAAGAAGCUUAGAACUUAAGCUCUGGUGAAUGGCGGCUCUAACUAUGAGAGUCCUAAG
Molecule: ribosomal RNA, 2061 nt
Filed under: uncultured Candidatus Scalindua sp.
Lineage: Bacteria; Pseudomonadati; Planctomycetota; Candidatus Brocadiia; Candidatus Brocadiales; Candidatus Scalinduaceae
Description: bacterial LSU rRNA
Rfam family: Bacterial large subunit ribosomal RNA
Source: RNAcentral